UACGUAGGGUGCAAGCGUUGUCCGGAAUUACUGGGCGUAAAGAGCUCGUAGGUGGUUUGUCGCGUUGUUCGUGAAAUCUCACGGCUUAACUGUGAGCGUGCGGGCGAUACGGGCAGACUGGAGUACUGCAGGGGAGACUGGAAUUCCUGGUGUAGCGGUGAAAUGCGCAGAUAUCAGGAAGAACACCCGUGGCGAAGGCGGUUCUCUGGGACGGUACUGACGCUGAGACGCGAAAGCGUGGGGAGCGAACAGG
This 253-nucleotide ribosomal RNA is filed under the name uncultured bacterium. Its description in RNAcentral is "partial 16S ribosomal RNA". It matches the Rfam family "Bacterial small subunit ribosomal RNA", at positions 524 to 776 of the family's 1533-position model. The record is from RNAcentral.